GCAUUGGGCAAUGAAGGAAUAUCCAAUGAAAAUUACUCUGGAUGUCUCCAAUACGUGAGCCAGAAUUUGUUUAAAAGAAAAAAAUAAAUCUGAAGAAAUCACUCCUGGUGGUAACAUCUGACCUCUUCAUCCAAAAAGCAGCCUCCAUCUACUUCAAGAAGGUGCGAUGUGUCCAGGCUCAGAGGGCCCCCUCAAGUGCACUGUUCCUGCAGCCAGAAGUCUCAAUGCUGCACAGUCUGCAAUGCCAGAGAGACUGAGCUUUGGUCCCACCUCUGAAAUACUUCAUGCUGGACAGGCCCUCCCAAAGCAGUGGCCACACGAGAGAGAGAGAGAGCUACAAGUCCCAAGAGUCCAGAGACUGAAGAAUCUGAAUUGUCAAAUACAGUGUUUGAUCCCAAC
Manacus vitellinus (golden-collared manakin) is the source of this 399-nucleotide long non-coding RNA. RefSeq lists it as uncharacterized. Lineage: Eukaryota; Metazoa; Chordata; Aves; Passeriformes; Pipridae. The transcript is spliced from 4 exons. The record is from RefSeq and is a predicted model, not a curated record.